Molecule: ribosomal RNA, 465 nt
Filed under: Vreelandella stevensii
Lineage: Bacteria; Pseudomonadati; Pseudomonadota; Gammaproteobacteria; Oceanospirillales; Halomonadaceae
Description: partial 16S ribosomal RNA
Rfam family: Bacterial small subunit ribosomal RNA
Source: RNAcentral
CCUACGGGUGGCUGCAGUGGGGAAUAUUGGACAAUGGGGGGAACCCUGAUCCAGCCAUGCCGCGUGUGUGAAGAAGGCCCUCGGGUUGUAAAGCACUUUCAGUGAGGAAGAACGCCUGGUGGUUAAUACCCAUCAGGAAAGACAUCACUCACAGAAGAAGCACCGGCUAACUCCGUGCCAGCAGCCGCGGUAAUACGGAGGGUGCGAGCGUUAAUCGGAAUUACUGGGCGUAAAGCGCGCGUAGGUGGCUUGAUAAGCCGGUUGUGAAAGCCCCGGGCUCAACCUGGGAACGGCAUCCGGAACUGUCAAGCUAGAGAGCAGGAGAGGAAGGUAGAAUUCCCGGUGUAGCGGUGAAAUGCGUAGAGAUCGGGAGGAAUACCAGUGGCGAAGGCGGCCUUCUGGACUGACACUGACACUGAGGUGCGAAAGCGUGGGUAGCAAACAGGAUUAGAUACCCCAGUAGUC